GAUGAACGCUGGCGGCGUGCCUAAUACAUGCAAGUCGAGCGAACGGACGAGAAGCUUGCUUCUCUGAUGUUAGCGGCGGACGGGUGAGUAACACGUGGUUAACCUACCUAUAAGACUGGGAUAACUUCGGGAAACCGUAGCUAAUACCGGAUAAUAUUUUGAACCGCAUGGUUCAAAAGUGAAAGACGGUCUUGCUGUCACUUAUAGAUGGAACCGCGCUGCAUUAGCUAGUUGGUAAGGUAACGGCUUACCAAGGCAACGAUGCAUAGCCGACCUGAGAGGGUGAUCGGCCACACUGGAGCUGAGACGCGGACCAGACUCGUACGGGAGGCAGGAGUAGGGAAUCUUCCGGAGGGGGCGAAAGCCUGACGGAGCAACGCGGCGUGAGUGAGAAGGGUCUUCGGAUCGUAAAUCUCUGUUAUUGGGGGAGAACAUAUGUGUAAGUAACUGUGCGCAUCUGGAGGGAACCGGAUCAGAAAGCCCCGGCAAACUAGGG
RNAcentral lists this ribosomal RNA (496 nucleotides) under uncultured bacterium. RNAcentral describes it as "partial 16S ribosomal RNA". It matches the Rfam family "Bacterial small subunit ribosomal RNA", at positions 28 to 506 of the family's 1533-position model. The record is from RNAcentral.